This 524-nucleotide ribosomal RNA is filed under the name Scaphiophryne obscura. RNAcentral's name for it is "partial 16S ribosomal RNA". It matches the Rfam family "Bacterial large subunit ribosomal RNA", at positions 1859 to 2597 of the family's 2925-position model. Lineage: Eukaryota; Metazoa; Chordata; Amphibia; Anura; Microhylidae. The record is from RNAcentral.
CUGCCCAGUGACAAAGUUAAACGGCCGCGGUACCCUAACCGUGCGAAGGUAGCGCAAUCACUUGUUCUUUAAAUGAGGACUAGUAUGAAUGGCAUCACGAGGGUUAUACUGUCUCCCCCUUUUAAUCAGUGAAACUGAUCUUCCCGUGAAGAAGCGGGAAUAAAUCUAUAAGACGAGAAGACCCCAUGGAGCUUAAAACUCAGUACCAACUGCCUUACCAUAUGCCCCUUAAACCAGCAGACAUGACUACUAGUUUUCGGUUGGGGUGACCGCGGAGCAAAAUAAAACCUCCACGAUGAAAGGAAUUAACCUCCUAAUCAAAGAACUACACUUCUAAGAAUCAACAAAUUGACAUUUAUUGAUCCAAUUUUUUUGAUCAACGAACCAAGUUACCCUGGGGAUAACAGCGCAAUCCAUUUCAAGAGCCCCUAUCGACAAAUGGGUUUACGACCUCGAUGUUGGAUCAGGGUAUCCCAGUGGUGCAGCCGCUACUAAAGGUUCGUUUGUUCAACGAUUAAAACCCU